CGUGUAGGCGGGUCUUUAAGUCAGGGGUGAAAUGCCAAGGCUCAACCUUGGAACUGCCUUUGAUACUGGAGAUCUUGAGUCCGGGAGAGGUGAGUGGAACUGCGAGUGUAGAGGUGAAAUUCGUAGAUAUUCGCAAGAACACCAGUGGCGAAGGCGGCUCACUGGCCCGGAGCUGACGCUGAGACGCGAAAGCGUGGGAGCAAACAGGAUUAGAUACCCUGGUAGUCCACGCUGUAAACGAUGGAUGCUAGCCGUUGGGGAGCUUGCUCUUCAGUGGCGCAGCUAACGCUUUAAGCAUCCCGCCUGGGGAGUACGGUCGCAAGAUAAA
Molecule: ribosomal RNA, 328 nt
Filed under: uncultured bacterium
Lineage: Bacteria
Description: bacterial SSU rRNA
Rfam family: Bacterial small subunit ribosomal RNA
Source: RNAcentral